CCGAAGUAGGCAAUGCCAAAAAAAAAUACCAAAAAAAAAAAAAUGAAAGAAAAGUUUCAGGUCAUGUACAAAUUUAAGUGCUAAAAAAUUUGCUGGAUUAUGUGGUAGUUGAUGAAGUUGUUGCGCGGGGAAUUAAAUGUCAAAUGCUUAAGCAUAGCUCGACGUAUUGUUCCUCCAGUAAUUCACUAAUAGAUUUCUCUGCCAAACAUUGGGUUUUGAUGAUGAUCUACUCCUGCUUAAUCUCGCCAACUUUCAUACGUGGGCCAUGCAAACAAAAACUUUUGAUUAUUACUGGCAGCCCACGCGCAUAAAACUUAAGACAAACACAGCUGACGUUUCUUGAGGAGUGAGAGAAACAGAGAGAAAGAGAGAGAGAGACAAUGAGUGUGUGUUGGCUUGGAGGCUCUGCGGCCUAUCAAGAUAAAUAUAAGGCACAUUUUACGCCCGCUUAUUAUUUUUAGCCGAGGCAAUGUUGAACUUUUAGCGGUACCGAAACUAACUAAGAAAGCAACUAGCAACAAAAAGCUGCAGAAUUUGGGGAAAAGUUAUAAUAACCGAGCUGGGAACUAGAUACUGGGUAUUUGGCUGGUAAUUGAAGUCCCAGCGCAGCUGAUGUAAAAAUAAUUUUCGGUACACGCCAGACAUAAGCCCGAAGCUGUUGCUUUGCCAACGACUUCGUAGUUUACUUCAAGUGCGGCGGGGCCAAUGAAGAUAUUAUAGAGAUAUUAUUAUUUUACGGCCACGAGGAGGUGGCGCUGGGACUAAGAUGCUCUCUUGUACUUGUUUGCUGCCUGGGCUGGCCGCUUUCGCAAUUUAACUAAAAGCUCAAUCAAUCAUCUCACAUAGACACGGCGCCUCCAUGGCAAUGCUUAAUUUCUGCUUUAGUUCCCUCUACCUCUGCCCAGCUCUCUCCCUUGCUAUCUGUCUUUCGCACAGCUGACGCUGCCUUUGUCAAUGUUGUCAUAGAGUUUCGCUUGGACCAAGGACCGCUGCGCCUGAAGAAGUUUUAAGCCGCUUUGCAAGGCGCUUUUUGAAGUUUAUCUGCUCGGUUGGCAAGUUUGGCCAUGCGACAAAAAAGGCCCCGUGGCAUUACCUGGCCAAAAUACGCGCACGCGUCUGUGUGUGUUUGCUUGUAUGGGUUUGUCUUGCAUGCAUUUUAGGCAACCGCUAGCAAACAUAUUUGCUUAGCUGCAAAAGGGUUGAUUAUUAGGCACCAAUGCUUCUCGGAACUGAAAAUUGCUGCGGCUAAUGCGCCCAAAGGCGGCUUAGCGAUUAAGUCUGCAAUGUGACGAGGCCUUAAAGUAAUUGCUCGAAAAUGAGCCCAGCUUUUGAUGUACACGUUGUGCAAUUAAAAUGGGGGAAAAGCCUUUAAGAUGGCUAUAUAAUAAAGA
Drosophila navojoa is the source of this 1391-nucleotide long non-coding RNA. Lineage: Eukaryota; Metazoa; Arthropoda; Insecta; Diptera; Drosophilidae. The record is from RefSeq and is a predicted model, not a curated record.